This is a small nucleolar RNA of Ailuropoda melanoleuca (giant panda), 135 nucleotides long. Its record names the gene SNORA70. It matches the Rfam family "Small nucleolar RNA SNORA70". From Rfam's summary of the family: snoRNA U70 seems to be exclusive to mammals and is a member of the H/ACA class of snoRNA which contain H (ANANNA) and ACA box motifs. H/ACA box snoRNAs are involved in the conversion of uridines to pseudouridines (5-ribosyluracil) a constituent of structural RNAs (transfer, ribosomal, small nuclear, and small nucleolar). NCBI's taxonomy places the organism in Eukaryota, Metazoa, Chordata, Mammalia, Carnivora, Ursidae. The record is from Ensembl.
GCGUUUUCUAUCUUAAUAACUUGUGCUCUUUCCCCGUGGGGGCCCAGUGCACAGUGGCUGCAAACAGUAGCCUCCUUGAUAGUGUAUGCAGUUUGUUGAUUGAAUGGGUUGCCCUAAGGGACUGUGGAGAUAGCC